This 253-nucleotide unclassified non-coding RNA is filed under the name uncultured Planctomycetales bacterium. RNAcentral's name for it is "contains 16S-23S intergenic spacer region". It matches the Rfam family "Bacterial small subunit ribosomal RNA", at positions 524 to 776 of the family's 1533-position model. The record is from RNAcentral. Lineage: Bacteria; Pseudomonadati; Planctomycetota; Planctomycetia; Planctomycetales.
UACAGAGGCCCCAAGCGUUAGGCGGAAUCACUGGGCUUAAAGCGUGUGCAGGCGGUCCCGCAAGUGCUUUGUGAAAGCCCACGGCUCAACCGUGGAACUGCUUGGCAUACUGCGGGACUUGGGUCAUCCAGGGGCGAGUGGAACUCACGGUGGAGCGGUGAAAUGCAUAGAUAUCGUGAGGAACGCCAGAGGCGAAAGCGACUCGCUGGGGAUGCACCGACGCUCAGACACGAAAGCUAGGGUAGCGAACGGG